RNAcentral lists this ribosomal RNA (450 nucleotides) under uncultured bacterium. RNAcentral's name for it is "partial 16S ribosomal RNA". It matches the Rfam family "Bacterial small subunit ribosomal RNA", at positions 354 to 796 of the family's 1533-position model. The record is from RNAcentral.
GUGGGGAAUAUUGGACAAUGGGCGAAAGCCUGAUCCAGCCAUGCCGCGUGUGUGAAGAAGGUCUUCGGAUUGUAAAGCACUUUAAGUUGGGAGGAAGGGCAGUAAGUUAAUACCUUGCUGUUUUGACGUUACCGACAGAAUAAGCACCGGCUAACUUCGUGCCAGCAGCCGCGGUAAUACGAAGGGUGCAAGCGUUAAUCGGAAUUACUGGGCGUAAAGCGCGCGUAGGUGGUUUUGUGAGUUGGAGGUGAAAUCCCCGGGCUCAACCUGGGAACUGCCUCCAAAACUGCAUGACUAGAGUACGGUAGAGGGUAGUGGAAUUUCCUGUGUAGCGGUGAAAUGCGUAGAUAUAGGAAGGAACACCAGUGGCGAAGGCGACUACCUGGACUGAUACUGACACUGAGGUGCGAAAGCGUGGGGAGCAAACAGGAUUAGAAACCCUUGUAGUCC